UACGUAGGGUGCGAGCGUUAAUCGGAAUUACUGGGCGUAAAGCGUGCGCAGGCGGUUUUGCAAGACAGAUGUGAAAUCCCCGGGCUUAACCUGGGAACUGCAUUUGUGACUGCACGGCUAGAGUGUGUCAGAGGGGGGUAGAAUUCCACGUGUAGCAGUGAAAUGCGUAGAUAUGUGGAGGAAUACCGAUGGCGAAGGCAGCCCCCUGGGAUAACACUGACGCUCAUGCACGAAAGCGUGGGGAGCAAACAGG
RNAcentral lists this ribosomal RNA (253 nucleotides) under uncultured bacterium. Its description in RNAcentral is "partial 16S ribosomal RNA". It matches the Rfam family "Bacterial small subunit ribosomal RNA", at positions 524 to 776 of the family's 1533-position model. The record is from RNAcentral.